AGAUGGAAGAAACACCCCGUCUGCGGAAGUCCGCGGGCGACACUUUGCCGGUGAAUCCCCAUCACCGGUACAGCAGUGCCCUCGCGCACAGCGCCGAAGCCGAAGGCUCCGGCAAUCCUCGCCGAUCGGU
This 130-nucleotide non-coding RNA is filed under the name Actinacidiphila glaucinigra. RNAcentral describes it as "Streptomyces glauciniger Streptomyces RNA 5676". It matches the Rfam family "Streptomyces RNA 5676". From Rfam's summary of the family: Identified by deep sequencing of transcriptome at the end of exponential growth phase. Appears longer on northern blot than sequencing transcript. Lineage: Bacteria; Bacillati; Actinomycetota; Actinomycetes; Kitasatosporales; Streptomycetaceae. The record is from Rfam by way of RNAcentral.